AUUGAACGCUGGCGGCAUGCCUAACACAUGCAAGUCGAGCGGAUGCAGGGAGCUUUCUCCUUGAUUCAGCGGCUGACGGAUGAGUAAUUCCUAGGUAUCUACCUUGUAGUUGGGGAUAACGUCCGGUCACGGGCGCUAAUACCGCAUACGUUCUGUGUUCGAACGUGGUGGAUUUUCGGACCUCACGCUAUCAGAUUAGCCGGGGUCGGAUUAGCUAGUUGGUGUGGUAAAGGCCUACCAAGGCGACGAUCCGUAACUGGUCUGAGAGGAUGAACGGUCACACUGGAACUGAGACACGGUCCAAACUCCUACGGGAGGCAGCAGUGGGGAAUAUUGGACAAUGGGCGAAAGCCUGAACGAGCAAUGCCGCGUGUGUGAAGAAGGUCUUCGGAUUGUAAAGCACUGUAAGUAGGGAAGAAGAAGAGUAAGAGUAAAUCUUACUGUCUUGACGGUACCAAAAGAAAAAGCAACGGCUAACUACGUG
RNAcentral lists this ribosomal RNA (484 nucleotides) under uncultured bacterium. Its description in RNAcentral is "partial 16S ribosomal RNA". It matches the Rfam family "Bacterial small subunit ribosomal RNA", at positions 30 to 507 of the family's 1533-position model. The record is from RNAcentral.